RNAcentral lists this ribosomal RNA (651 nucleotides) under uncultured cyanobacterium. RNAcentral's name for it is "bacterial SSU rRNA". It matches the Rfam family "Bacterial small subunit ribosomal RNA", at positions 118 to 804 of the family's 1533-position model. The record is from RNAcentral. Lineage: Bacteria; Bacillati; Cyanobacteriota.
UGAGAAUCUGGCUUCAGGUUCGGGACAACAGUUGGAAACGGCUGCUAAUACCGGAUGUGCCUAAGGGUGAAAGAUUUAUCACCUGAAGAUGAGCUCGCGUCUGAUUAGCUAGUAGGUGUGGUAAGAGCGCACCUAGGCGACGAUCAGUAGCUGGUCUGAGAGGAUGAUCAGCCACACUGGGACUGAGACACGGCCCAGACUCCUACGGGAGGCAGCAGUGGGGAAUUUUCCGCAAUGGGCGAAAGCCUGACGGAGCAGUACCGCGUGAGGGAGGAAGGCUCUUGGGUUGUAAACCUCUUUUCUCAGGGAAGAAUGAUGACGGUACCUGAGGAAUAAGCAUCGGCUAACUCCGUGCCAGCAGCCGCGGUAAUACGGAGGAUGCAAGCGUUAUCCGGAAUGAUUGGGCGUAAAGCGUCCGCAGGUGGCAAUGUAAGUCUGCUGUCAAAGCGUCUGGCUCAACCAGAUAAAGGCAGUGGAAACUACAUAGCUAGAGUAAGGUAGGGGUAGAGGGAAUUCCUGGUGUAGCGGUGAAAUGCGUAGAGAUCAGGAAGAACACCGGUGGCGAAAGCGCUCUGCUGGACCUUAACUGACACUGAGGGACGAAAGCUAGGGGAGCGAAUGGGAUUAGAUACCCCAGUAGUCCUAGCCGUA